RNAcentral lists this ribosomal RNA (486 nucleotides) under uncultured bacterium. RNAcentral's name for it is "bacterial SSU rRNA". It matches the Rfam family "Bacterial small subunit ribosomal RNA", at positions 36 to 507 of the family's 1533-position model. The record is from RNAcentral.
CUAGCGUACAGGCUUAACACAUGCAAGGUCGAGGGGCAGCAUGGACUUAGCUUGCUAAGUCUGAUGGCGACCGGCGCACGGGUGAGUAACGCGUAUCCAACCCUGCCCAUAUCCCCGGGCAUAACCUUGCGAAAGCAAGCCUAAUUCCCCGAUGUGUCCUGUGACGGCAUCAGAUCAGGAUGAAAGAUUUUUCGGAUAUGGAUGGGGAUGCGUCCCAUUAGGUAGUAGGCGGGGUAACGGCCCACCUAGCCGACGAUGGGUAGGGGUUCUGAGAGGAAGGUCCCCCACAUUGGAACUGAGACACGGUCCAAACUCCUACGGGAGGCAGCAGUGAGGAAUAUUGGUCAAUGGACGUAAGUCUGAACCAGCCAAGUAGCGUGCAGGAUGACGGCCCUAUGGGUUGUAAACUGCUUUUAUGCGGGGAUAAAGUGUGGGACGUGUCCCAUAUUGCAGGUACUGCAUGAAUAAGGACCGGCUAAUUCCGUG